RNAcentral lists this ribosomal RNA (441 nucleotides) under uncultured bacterium. RNAcentral's name for it is "bacterial SSU rRNA". It matches the Rfam family "Bacterial small subunit ribosomal RNA", at positions 958 to 1397 of the family's 1533-position model. The record is from RNAcentral.
AACGCGAAGAACCUUACCUGGGCUCGAAAUGUAGUGGACUGGGGUAGAAAUAUCCCUUUCUCGCAAGAGACUGCUAUAUAGGUGCUGCAUGGCUGUCGUCAGCUCGUGUCGUGAGAUGUUGGGUUAAGUCCCGCAACGAGCGCAACCCUUAUCCCUAGUUGCCAUCGGGUCAAGCCGGGCACUCUAGUGAAACCGCCCCGGAUAACGGGGAGGAAGGUGGGGAUGACGUCAAGUCCUCAUGGCCUUUAUGUCCAGGGCCACACACGUGCUACAAUGGGCGGUACAAAGCGCUGCCAACCCGCGAGGGGGAGCUAAUCGCCAAAAACCGUCCUCAGUUCGGAUUGCAGGCUGCAACUCGCCUGCAUGAAGCUGGAAUCGCUAGUAAUGCUAUAUCAGAACGAUAGCGUGAAUACGUUCCCGGGCCUUGUACACACCGCAUAC